AAUCUGGAACUGGUUGCUGCGGAUGGACCUACUCCUUAGCAGCAGUAGGGAAUCUUCCGCAAUGGGCGAAAGCCUGACGGAGCAAUGCCGCGUGAGUGAUGAAGGUUUUCGGAUCGUAAAGCUCUGUUGCCAGGGAAGAACGUCCUUGAGAGUAACUGCUCAAGGAGUGACGGUACCUGAGAAGAAAGCCCCGGCUAACUACGUGCCAGCAGCCGCGGUAAUACGUAGGGGGCAAGCGUUGUCCGGAAUUAUUGGGCGUAAAGCGCGCGCAGGCGGUCAUUUAAGUCUGGUGUUUAAUCCCGGGGCUCAACCCCGGAUCGCACUGGAAACUGGAUGACUUGAGUGCAGAAGAGGAGAGUGGAAUUCCACGUGUAGCGGUGAAAUGCGUAAGAUGUGAGGAACACCGGGGCGAG
RNAcentral lists this ribosomal RNA (413 nucleotides) under Paenibacillus sp. IACARI 06. RNAcentral describes it as "bacterial SSU rRNA". It matches the Rfam family "Bacterial small subunit ribosomal RNA", at positions 80 to 719 of the family's 1533-position model. The record is from RNAcentral. Lineage: Bacteria; Bacillati; Bacillota; Bacilli; Caryophanales; Paenibacillaceae.